UACAGAGGCCUCGAGCGUUGUCCGGAAUUAUUGGGCGUAAAGCGCGCGCAGGCGGCCUCUUAAGUCUGAUGUGAAAGCCCCCGGCUCAACCGGGGAGGGCCAUUGGAAACUGGGGGACUUGAGUGCAGAAGAGGAAAGUGGAAUUCCAUGUGUAGCGGUGAAAUGCGUAGAGAUGUGGAGGAACACCAGUGGCGAAGGCGACUUUCUGGUCUGUAACUGACGCUGAGGCGCGAAAGCGUGGGGAGCAAACAGG
Molecule: unclassified non-coding RNA, 253 nt
Filed under: uncultured Caryophanaceae bacterium
Lineage: Bacteria; Bacillati; Bacillota; Bacilli; Caryophanales; Caryophanaceae
Description: uncultured Planococcaceae bacterium contains 16S-23S intergenic spacer region
Rfam family: Bacterial small subunit ribosomal RNA
Source: RNAcentral